AUCACAGCAGCAACAACAUUAGCAGAGAGCAGAAGCCAGCAGGCAAGUGUUAUUCAAAUAAACUCCUGCUGUACUUACAAACUUUCAAAUGCAUUGUUUUAUGAGUACGUAACCUAUUUGUACUACUGU
Long non-coding RNA from Etheostoma spectabile (orangethroat darter), 129 nucleotides. RefSeq lists it as uncharacterized. The record is from RefSeq and is a predicted model, not a curated record. Lineage: Eukaryota; Metazoa; Chordata; Actinopteri; Perciformes; Percidae. The transcript is spliced from 3 exons.